Triticum aestivum (bread wheat) is the source of this 2522-nucleotide long non-coding RNA. RefSeq lists it as uncharacterized. The record is from RefSeq and is a predicted model, not a curated record. Lineage: Eukaryota; Viridiplantae; Streptophyta; Magnoliopsida; Poales; Poaceae. The transcript is spliced from 2 exons.
UCCCAGAGACGAACCUCUCGUGCUAAUGAAUCUCGCGUAGCCCGCCCUUUUUUGUGGAGUUACCUCCCGCGAUCAGUGCUAUAGGCAGUAGUAGAAAUUGCCAGUGAGAUUCCCCUGAUGCCGCCGUGCCGAAUGACUCUGUAGAGCAAUUUUUGAGUAAAUUUCUCUGUUGCGCGUCCUGCCUGUAUCAGGGCGAUCAUUGUGUUUUUGGUGUGGAGGGGGGAGCAGCAACCGGCGAUUGCUCGGGCAAUUCGAUCAGGUGCUCUCGUACCGUUGCCAUCAACACAGAUCUCCCUGCAUAAUACAGUAGGUCGCUUGUGUUGUGUGUCCCAGGCUGCUGGUCCCUGUGUGAGUUGAGCGAGCCUCACAUGUGCGGGCUUCGCAAUCGGUCGGCUCGCUUCGGGUUAGAGAUUGGUCACAUGGUGGAUGCUAGGGCUUUGUGAUCAUCAUGAAAUGAGAUUUGAUUUGUCCAUCAGGGUUCGCGUCAAGCAAGUGAUUGUUCUGUACAACAUUGAUGAUAGUAUGAUGCUUGUUUGCUUAACGUGCUAUGUCCAAGCCAAUGUAAACAGCAGGAGAGAUGUGUCUUUGGACCUGCUAAUAAGUGACCACCCUUGAUCCCUGUACAGUUCAACACGGUUAGUUGUGCCUGGUCUUUCUUCUUUCCAUGGUGCAGGUAUUGCGUGCGCUUUUUUAGUUAGUUUUUAAACGGGAUGCUAGCUAAUUCAGCGUUAUUAUUGCAUUCCCCUUGCUAGAAGCGCACAAAAUACUUGAUUGUUACACCCUCUGUUCCCAAAUGUAGGACAUUCUGGCAGUUCAAAAUACUUGAUUGUUACAGAGGUAGUACAUGAUUGACAACCUCAUGUUGAGAUUGUUACAUGUGAACAAUGAUGACCAAUUAGGGCUUCUUUGGAUCACAGGAUUAGAAAACAAAGGAAUUCAAAAAACACAGGAAUUUGACGGGAUUGUAGGUGCAAAACAGAGGAUUACAAAAUAGAGGAAAACUACAAGAAUGGUCAUUUGGAUGGAACACAGGAAAAACACAGGAAAAGUGCCUCGAUCCUACGCGAAUCAGUGUAAAAAAGAGGUUAUAGUGGAUGUUGAAAUUCCUAUAGGAUUGAGGUGUAGGAAUGCAUCCAUAGGAAUUUUGGAGGUGUGGUUCCUUUGAUCCAAAGGGCUUCUUUAGGAAAAAAUCCAAUGGAUUGGAAUCCUCCAAUAUUCCUAUGAAAAUCCUUCAAUCCAAAGAGGCCCUUAGCUGGAGCCUGGAGAUAGUCUAAUCAUAAAUGAUUGCGCAGCUAGUAGCUGUUGUAAUUUUCCUCGUGCUAUGAAUCUUGUUGACAACAUGGUAGUAUUAUUAAAAGAAUUACCAUAUGUUGUAUCCUAGCUAAAACCUGGUUUAUAUCAGUGUUCUGCCUGUUUAUAUGACUAUCAUCUACAGGAUGUAGAAUAUAGUGUGCCCAAUCAAAGCAAUGUUCAUAUCGCAAGGCAAAAAAAAAACGAGGUUCAGAUAUAAUCUUGCAGCAAAGAUGGCAUCUGGUCAUGUUGCAGACAAGGCGAUCUACAAGACUAAAUGCUCCCAACUUUUGCCAACUUGCCCUCUUAUUGUGCAUGAUGAUGUCAAACUAAUUUACUGCAACAUAAAUGCAAGUUUACUAUCGACAUGUUAUGUGUUGGGAGCUUGGGAUGCAUAUGAUGCAAGGGAUACAUGAUUCAUAACUGACGGUUGUUUUGCAAUGAUCUUGUGUACUCAUUUCUACUUGUCCUUUGUUCAUGCGGUGCAUCUAUUGACAACUUGACGUCCAAAACAAUCAUUCGUAGUGAUGAGCAAGUCUUUUAUAGAAUGGGCAGGUGUCAGGUACAGAUUUUUGUGUGGCUUCUUCUUGGGCUGCUCGGAUCAGAUGGUCCCUGACUGAACUCUUAAAUAUGCUCAUGUGGUAUUUUCUUGGGAUUGUAUGUAGGCUAAAACCAUGGCCCGUGAAAGCAGGAGGUCCCACAAACACGUAAUAAUACUCACAUGUGUGUCAUCUUAUGUCAAAGCAAAGAAGUGUUUUUUCACUCUGCUCGGAAAAACCAAAUCCAUGUUUUCUGGACCGAAGUGUGAAAAAUACCAAGCAAACUCAGACUGACACCAGCAACCAACCUGUGUAAACGUCAUUGAGGACAUAGAUUUUUCUUUCUGUAUAUAUACUGGAAUAUAUGACUCGCUUAACACAUAACAAGCUCUUGCAAGUCCAGAGUCUUCCCUGUGCUAGUGUCACAGUGACGGUUUGUAGGAGGGCUCAGGUCGUCAGGUGUAUGUUUGGUGGUACAACUGUACAAGGAAACAACUCCGCAGGAUGGUGUGUUGAUGUGAUCGAGGAAGAGUCGAUAUGUAUAUGUUCUGUCAAAUAGCUCCUGGAUUCUUGGAUAUGUGCGACAAAACAAGGUCAUGAUAGAUAGAUUAAUAUGCAUGAUGACUGAAGUGUGGCGACUGAUUCCCUUGCGGAUGCUCGAUGUGAAGGCAGAGUAAUCUGUUAUGCUGGAGG